Molecule: ribosomal RNA, 407 nt
Filed under: uncultured bacterium
Lineage: Bacteria
Description: partial 16S ribosomal RNA
Rfam family: Bacterial small subunit ribosomal RNA
Source: RNAcentral
AUUGAACUCUGGCGGCAGGCCUAACACAUGCGAGUCGAUCGGAGCGGCGGACGGGUAAGUAAUGCCUAGGAAUCUGCCUGAUGGUGUGGGAUAAAGUCCUGAAACGGGCGCUAAUACCGCAUCCUAUCAGAAGAGCCUAGUGCGGAGUAGCUAGUUGGUGGGGUAAAGGCCUACCAAGGCGACGAUCCGUAACUGGUCUGAGAGGAUGAUGAGUCACACUGGAACUGAGACACGGGCCAGACGACUACGGUAGUCAGCAGUGGGGAAUAUUGGACAAUGGGCGAAAGCCUGAUCCAGCCAUGCCGCGUGUGUGAAGAAGGUCUUGGGAUUGUAAAGCACGUUAAGUUGGGAGGCGUUACCAACAGAAUAAGCACCGGCUAACUCCGUGCCAGCCGCCGCGGUAAUUC